CAGUCGCCACGGUAAUACAGAGGGUGCGAGCGUUAAUCGGAUUUACUGGGCGUAAAGCGUGCGUAGGCGGCUUUUUAAGUCGGAUGUGAAAUCCCUGAGCUUAACUUAGGAAUUGCAUUCGAUACUGGGAAGCUAGAGUAUGGGAGAGGAUGGUAGAAUUCCAGGUGUAGCGGUGAAAUGCGUAGAGAUCUGGAGGAAUACCGAUGGCGAAGGCAGCCAUCUGGCCUAAUACUGACGCUGAGGUACGAAAGCAUGGGGAGCAAACAGGAUUAGAGUCCCCAGUAGUCCCUGUCUCUUAUAA
RNAcentral lists this ribosomal RNA (301 nucleotides) under uncultured bacterium. RNAcentral's name for it is "partial 16S ribosomal RNA". It matches the Rfam family "Bacterial small subunit ribosomal RNA", at positions 509 to 809 of the family's 1533-position model. The record is from RNAcentral.